RNAcentral lists this unclassified non-coding RNA (761 nucleotides) under Hevea brasiliensis (rubber tree). The record is from RNAcentral. Lineage: Eukaryota; Viridiplantae; Streptophyta; Magnoliopsida; Malpighiales; Euphorbiaceae.
AUAAAUAAUUCAGAUGGUUAAGGCGUUUAAGAGACUUUGAGAUUCAUGUCUUUAUAAUAGGUGAAGUCUGUGACAAUCAGUUUGUUCUUUAACAUGAGAUGCUCAGGAUUCCUGCUGUUAGAAUUAGAAGAACUUGUUGCCGAGGUUGUUUGUGAUUAUUAGAUUUAAUAACCUUUUUAAAUUUUCAUGUUGUUUGUUAGCAUGUUCAUUGUGAAAAAAGAAUUCUGGUGUACAGAAAUGGUUGAUGUUUGUUUCCAUCAGAUCAGCGUCUUGGAUGUUGUUUCAUUGGUCAAUUGGAGAAAGUGAAAUGGAGUUUGGAAGAAGCUAAUGCAGCUUUAUUCCAAGUAUAGCAGGCUGAUUUAAUCUUUUGCCAUAGCUUUAUUGUUUAGGCCUUAGGGCUGUGUUGACCCUAAAUUUGGAAUGAGAUUUAUCCUUGUUAAAUUGACAUACACUAAAGAAGUGGCUUGCUUUUGCAGAAAACAAAGAAAUAAACCAGCUAAACCAAUGUGCACAACCUUAUGGUUGCCAUGGACUUUUGUAUGGAUGUGUAGAUUCUAGAUAUGCUGCGUUUAUAUUAUGCUGCUCUAUCACUAUGUUAGGACUAUUUGCAACGUAUUUUUAUAUUUUUGCAUCUAUAAUUCCUUGUCUAUCAUCAUGUGUUUCUAUUUUAUUAAUAUGUAUUUUAUCAUUUUAUCCUGUUUCCUUAAUAUAUCACAGUGUUUAACAGUUGUGACGUAUUGAGACCUUAUGUUGCUCACAUA